CGAUAAAAUCGCCACAGUUAGCAAUUCUCCUCUCUGUUGUCAGCUAGCAUAACUCAUGUGUCUAGUAAGGAGAUAUCUCUUUAAGAGACUCCUUGGGGAGAGGAGGUAGGAGUGAGUUGUGUCUGGGUCAUUGUUGCUAGGCAGAUUUAGAACACCCAGAAGUUUCUGGAACUAGGUGUGGCAGAUUUGGGUAUCCUCCAAUAGGUUCUCUGGUGCUGGGAUCUGAUUCCACAUGAGGGCAAGCAGUCAGGGCAGUUGCUUUACAAAAGGCCAUGUGUCCUGUGUGAGUUGGGAGAAGCUGAGCCCUGGAGUGCAAAACAGGCUGUUUCCUCAAACUCUGAAGCAUUCUGCAGCAGCAUGCCUGUAAUCUCAGAAAUGCUAUAUUCUGCCAACAAACCCUGAUACACACCGACACCCAGCAUGGAUGCAAUAUUACGCUAGUCUUCUCUACAAUGGAGAGAAAUCAGUGUGAAUUCAGCAACUGCUAGACUCUUCUUUCAGGUGAAUGUGCUAAAUAUCCAUUCUAAGAACAAAGGAAACUGACUGAGUGACUGACUACAUAAGGGAAACAAAAAAAAAAGAACAGGAGUACUUGUGGCACCUGAGAGACUAACACAUUUAUUUCAGCAUAAACUUUCAUGGGCUACAGCUCACUUCUUCGGAUGCAUAUAAUGGAACAC
Mauremys reevesii (Reeves's turtle) is the source of this 680-nucleotide long non-coding RNA. RefSeq lists it as uncharacterized. The transcript has 3 exons. NCBI's taxonomy places the organism in Eukaryota, Metazoa, Chordata, Testudines, Geoemydidae. The record is from RefSeq and is a predicted model, not a curated record.